AAUGAACCGGCGAGUUACGAUUUGAUGCAAGGUUAAGCAGUAAAUGUGGAGCCGUAGCGAAAGCGAGUCUGAAUAGGGCGUUUAGUAUUUGGUCGUAGACCCGAAACCAGGUGAUCUACCCUUGGUCAGGUUGAAGUUCAGGUAACACUGAAUGGAGGACCGAACCGACUUACGUUGAAAAGUGAGCGGAUGAACUGAGGGUAGCGGAGAAAUUCCAAUCGAACCUGGAGAUAGCUGGUUCUCUCCGAAAUAGCUUUAGGGCUAGCCUCAAGUGAUGAUUAUUGGAGGUAGAGCACUGUUUGGACGAGGGGCCCCUCUCGGGUUACCGAAUUCAGACAAACUCCGAAUGCCAAUUAAUUUAACUUGGGAGUCAGAACAUGGGUGAUAAGGUCCGUGUUCGAAAGGGAAACAGCCCAGACCACCAGCUAAGGUCCCAAAAUAUAUGUUAAGUGGAAAAGGAUGUGGCGUUGCCCAGACAACUAGGAUGUUGGCUUAGAAGCAGCCAUCAUUUAAAGAGUGCGUAAUAGCUCACUAGUCGAGUGACACUGCGCCGAAAAUGUACCGGGGCUAAACAUAUUACCGAAGCUGUGGAUUGUCCUUUGGACAAUGGUAGGAGAGCGUUCU
This 624-nucleotide ribosomal RNA is filed under the name Staphylococcus aureus. RNAcentral's name for it is "partial 23S ribosomal RNA". It matches the Rfam family "Bacterial large subunit ribosomal RNA", at positions 614 to 1242 of the family's 2925-position model. Lineage: Bacteria; Bacillati; Bacillota; Bacilli; Caryophanales; Staphylococcaceae. The record is from RNAcentral.